AGAUCGGUCUUGCUAUAUGGCCCUGGCUUGAUAGCAGCUUUGUCAUCAAAUGAUCUGCCUUCCACAUCAGUAGCUGAAACAACAGUCCCGGACCCCAGGCCAUAGAACAGAUGCUGCCCACUGUUAGGGUUUGUCUUUCCGGCUCAGCUAACCCAGUCUAGAAACGUCCUCACAGGUGUUUCGUUGUACUGGGACUUACAGUCUUUGACAUGGUUGCUUCAGCAUUAUUGGAGUCUUGAGAGACUGGUAACAAAUUGACUUCAGCUUCGUGAGAGACUGAGUGUGGUGAGAAGGCAAACAUUGUUGUUUUCAGCUGUGAGUUUGGGGAUAUUAUGUUCUGUGGCAAUAGAUAAUUAGCACUAUUUGAGUCAAGUCAGAUGUUAAAAUCCUGAAGAACAAACACACUUAUAGUCCUUCUUAUAUCCCCAAGAUACAAGAUGUACACUGAGUACAGUGUACUGAGAACACAGCCUCUGGUUAUAGGAGAAAAGAUCAGAAUCUGGGCUGGGGAGAUGAUUCAGUCCAUGUGACAGUUAAUAUUGCCAGUUUGACAAGAUCUAAAGUCAACUAGGAUAUAAGCCUCUGGGCAUGCCUGAGAGAGAGUUUGUAGAUUGGGUUCACUGAGGUGGGAAGACCCAUCUUAACUCUUAGCUACACCAUCCCAUGGCUGGAGUCAUAGACAAUAAAAAUGAGAGAGAGAGAGAGAGAGAGAGAGGGAG
This is a non-coding RNA of Myodes glareolus (Bank vole), 719 nucleotides long. The record is from RefSeq and is a predicted model, not a curated record. NCBI's taxonomy places the organism in Eukaryota, Metazoa, Chordata, Mammalia, Rodentia, Cricetidae.